This 94-nucleotide transfer RNA is filed under the name Streptomyces sanglieri. RNAcentral describes it as "tRNA-Thr". The record is from RNAcentral. Lineage: Bacteria; Bacillati; Actinomycetota; Actinomycetes; Kitasatosporales; Streptomycetaceae. RNAcentral also lists the same sequence under 1 other name.
GGCCUCGUACGGCAAGCCGGUGCUCGCGUCGUCGUCCGACACGGCGCUGUACGCGGAGGGCGCCAGGGCGACGUUCUACUCGUGGGCGGGGCUG